AUCACAUCACAUACGGAUUUGGUACAAUUUGUAAAUUGUUUCACUUUUUAUUGUUUUUGCUAGGACUGUAUUCAAUCAGCUAGGGUUUUCAUCUUUUACAAACAAGGGGAAGCUGCGGCCGUCAAUAUGGUUCUCAAGAUUGAGCUAUGCAGAUUCAGUGGCCAGAAGAUUUACCCUGGUAAGGGUAUUAGAUUCAUCAGAUCUGAUUCACAGGUGUUUUUGUUUGCAAAUUCCAAAUGCAAAAGGUACUUUCAUAACAAG
Helianthus annuus (common sunflower) is the source of this 261-nucleotide long non-coding RNA. RefSeq lists it as uncharacterized. NCBI's taxonomy places the organism in Eukaryota, Viridiplantae, Streptophyta, Magnoliopsida, Asterales, Asteraceae. The transcript is spliced from 3 exons. The record is from RefSeq and is a predicted model, not a curated record.